CUGUCUGAAGGGAGUGUGCGAUUGCUGAAAAGCACAGCAUACUCCUGCAUGGACUCUGCCUCACUUUUGUUCCUCAAUCCUCCGCCUGUGACCAAAACGCCAGGUAGGAAAGAUUGCUUGAUAGAGGAAUAAAUUACAAGGAGGUACAGGUAAUAUCACAGCACGGCACCAACCUGGAUGGCCCCCGCUGAAUAUCAAAUGAUCCACUCGGCCCUGUCAAAGCAAAAGAUAGGCCGCCAAAAUCUAGCAUGUCAUUUAAUGCGGUCGACAUUCACAGUAAGCUUGGAGUAUUGUUGCAGGCCACACCUGGUCAAACAAUUCCACGCCUGCUUCGACCCUCUGUUGCAAUGUCGGGGUUGGAGUGCCAUCUCUGCAUCAGUUGCCGUGUUUGAGCGCGAAGUUAUAUGCCUCAACUGAACAGCAUGCAGGGGACACACGUACCUCUGGAGGGCAUAGCCCAGGACGACAGCCACAUCAACUGUUGCCCCUUCUGGAAGAAACUCCCUGCAUUAAAUAAAAUGCAAUGUAUGAAGGUUAAGUUAGUGAUAUCUCUACAGAUUUCGAGGCAUCGAUAAUGGUUUCGCACCCUCUUGACAGGAGCUGAUGCUGCCACUUAAUGACUGAGCUGUUCAACAUGACCGCCAAAGCAGUUGCGAUGAAAGCGUAAGUAUAGCAUCUCAUAUCGACAUCACGUCGCGGAUGAGAUCCCUAUUCGCGAAUACUGUCAAUGCUGCGUAGUGCUCAGUGCUUGUAUCACACCUUUGGUGCUCAUUCGGUAUGCGCAGUACUAGUCAUGCAAUGGAACUUCAGUUAGAAUACCACACAUCUAACAAUGUGACAAGAUUGGAGAAUGGAUGCAGCAUAUGCAGGCAGUAGAGCACAGCUU
RNAcentral lists this long non-coding RNA (886 nucleotides) under Coccomyxa subellipsoidea. Its description in RNAcentral is "long non-coding RNA (CSUB_LNC000522)". The record is from RNAcentral. Lineage: Eukaryota; Viridiplantae; Chlorophyta; Trebouxiophyceae; Coccomyxaceae.